AAAAUAACAAUGAUUCCCCUAGUAACGGCGAGUGAACAGGGAAAAGCUCAAAGUUGGAACCUCCUGGCCCUAGGUCUGGCGGAUUGUAAACUAAAGCUCUCGAGUAGUUCGGCUAGCCUGGUAAAUAAGUUCUCUGGAAAGGGACGACAUGGAGGGUGAAAUCCCCGUCUUUGGCCAGAGCAUAGUCCAACGUUUGCUUGGAAGUGAAGAGUCAGGUUGUUUGGUAUUGCAGCCUAAAGCUGGAGGUAAAUCUCUCCUAAAGCUAAAUAUUGACGAAAGACCGAUAGCGAACAAGUACCGUGAGGGAAAGAUGAAAAGCACUUUGAAAAGAGGGUCAAAAAGUACGUGAAAUUGCUGAAAGGGAACCGUAUGAAAUCAGCUUGUCUCUUUGGUAAUCAACCUGGAUCUCGAUCUGGGUGCACUUGCCAGUGAGUCAGCCUGCGACAAUUUGAUUUGGGGGAAAAAAUUAGGGGGAAUGUGGCCUGGGCUUCGGUUCAGGUGUUAUAGCCCUUUGAAAAAUACCCUGGGUUGGAUUGAGGACUGCAGCAAGCCAUUUGGGAAGAACUGUGGGCGCUUGGUUAUGGUUAGGAGAAAAUUUCUGCUUCGGGUGGUGUUUUUCUAAUGGUGGCCAACUCGCCUACUUUUUCUUUUUCUUGCUUAGGUCGUAGGCAUAAUGAUUUUAUAUGA
RNAcentral lists this ribosomal RNA (687 nucleotides) under Absidia healeyae. Its description in RNAcentral is "Absidia sp. ASU-2020a partial large subunit ribosomal RNA". It matches the Rfam family "Eukaryotic large subunit ribosomal RNA", at positions 62 to 647 of the family's 3401-position model. Lineage: Eukaryota; Fungi; Mucoromycota; Mucoromycetes; Mucorales; Cunninghamellaceae. The record is from RNAcentral.